CUUUUCGAGGUAGGAGUCGACUCCUGUGAGGUAUGGUGCUGGGUGCAGAUGCAGUGUGGCUCUGGAUAGCACCUUAUGGACAGUUGUGUCCCCAAGGAAGGAUGAGAAUAGCUACUGAAGUCCUAAAGAGCAAGCCUAACUCAAGCCAUUGGCACACAGGCAUUAGACAGAAAGCUGGAAGUUGAAAUGGUGGAGUCCAACUUGCCUGGACCAGCUUAAUGGUUCUGUCCUCAUUUGUAUUCCAGCUCCUGGUAACGUUUUUAUCCAUGGAUGACUUGCUUGGGUAUGGAGAGUCGGCUUGACUACACUGUGUGGAGCAAGUUUUAAAGAAGCAAAGGACUCAGAAUUCAUGAUUGAAGAAAUGCAGGCAGACCUGUUAUCCUAAACUAGGGUUUUUAAUGACCACAACAAGCAAGCAUGCAGCUUACUGCUUGAAAGGGUCUUGCCUCACCCAAGCUAGAGUGCAGUGGCCUUUGAAGCUUACUACAGCCUCAAACUUCUGGGCUCAAGUGAUCCUCAGCCUCCCAGUGGUCUUUGUAGACUGCCUGAUGGAGUCUCAUGGCACAAGAAGAUUAAAACAGUGUCUCCAAUUUUAAUAAAUUUUUGCAAUCCA
RNAcentral lists this long non-coding RNA (613 nucleotides) under Homo sapiens (human). Its description in RNAcentral is "growth arrest specific 5". The record is from RNAcentral. Lineage: Eukaryota; Metazoa; Chordata; Mammalia; Primates; Hominidae.